UCCCUAGUGGCUCAGAUGGUAAAGAAUCUGCCUGUAAUGCAGGAAACCUGGGUUCGAUCCCUGGUCAGGGAG
RNAcentral lists this transfer RNA (72 nucleotides) under Ovis aries (sheep). It matches the Rfam family "tRNA". Rfam says of the family: Transfer RNA (tRNA) molecules are approximately 80 nucleotides in length. The record is from Rfam by way of RNAcentral. Lineage: Eukaryota; Metazoa; Chordata; Mammalia; Artiodactyla; Bovidae.